RNAcentral lists this ribosomal RNA (425 nucleotides) under uncultured bacterium. RNAcentral's name for it is "partial 16S ribosomal RNA". It matches the Rfam family "Bacterial small subunit ribosomal RNA", at positions 354 to 796 of the family's 1533-position model. The record is from RNAcentral.
GUGGGGAAUCUUAGACAAUGGGCGCAAGCCUGAUCUAGCCAUGCCGCGUGAGCGAUGAAGGCCUUAGGGUUGUAAAGCUCUUUCAGGGGGGAAGAUAAUGACGGUACCUGAAGAAGAAGCCCCGGCUAACUUCGUGCCAGCAGCCGCGGUAAUACGAAGGGGGCUAGCGUUGCUCGGAAUCACUGGGCGUAAAGCGAACGUAGGCGGCUUUCUAAGUCAGGGGUGAAAUCCUGGAGCUCAACUCCAGAACUGCCUUUGAUACUGGAGAGCUUGAGUUCGGGAGAGGUGAGUGGAACUGCGAGUGUAGAGGUGAAAUUCGUAGAUAUUCGCAAGAACACCAGUGGCGAAGGCGGCUCACUGGCCCGAUACUGACGCUGAGGUGCGAAAGCGUGGGGAGCAAACAGGAUUAGAUACCCCUGUAGUCC